Small nuclear RNA from Oryctolagus cuniculus (rabbit), 108 nucleotides. The record is from Ensembl. NCBI's taxonomy places the organism in Eukaryota, Metazoa, Chordata, Mammalia, Lagomorpha, Leporidae.
UUUCGUGCAAAAAAUUCUGAAAUACAUGCAUACUGGAAUGAUACAGAGAAGAUUAGCAUGGGCCUGUGCAAGGAUGACAUGCAAAUUUGUAAGGCAUUCCCUAUAAUA